This 251-nucleotide ribosomal RNA is filed under the name uncultured prokaryote. RNAcentral describes it as "partial 16S rRNA". It matches the Rfam family "Bacterial small subunit ribosomal RNA", at positions 525 to 775 of the family's 1533-position model. The record is from RNAcentral.
ACGGAGGGUGCGAGCGUUAAUCGGAAUCACUGGGCGUAAAGCGCACGUAGGCGGUGUCGUAAGUGGUAUGUGAAAGAAGAGGGAAGAACCGGGGAACUGCAUUCGAUACUGCGAUGCUUGAGUGCCAGAGAGGGUGGCGGAAUUCCAGGUGUAGGAGUGAAAUCCGUAGAUAUCUGGAGGAACACCAGUGGCGAAGGCGGCCACCUGGCCGGCAACUGACGCUGAGGUGCGAAAGCGUGGGGAUCAAACAG